Molecule: ribosomal RNA, 305 nt
Filed under: uncultured bacterium
Lineage: Bacteria
Description: bacterial SSU rRNA
Rfam family: Bacterial small subunit ribosomal RNA
Source: RNAcentral
CAUCGCCUACGGGGGGCAGCAGUGGGGAAUAUUGGGCAAUGGGCGCAAGCCUGACCCAGCAACGCCGCGUGAAGGAAGAAGGCUUUCGGGUUGUAAACUUCUUUUAAGAGGGAAGAGUAGAAGACGGUACCUCUUGAAUAAGCCACGGCUAACUACGUGCCAGCAGCCGCGGUAAUACGUAGGUGGCAAGCGUUGUCCGGAUUUAUUGGGUGUAAAGGGUGCGUAGACGGGAAGGCAAGUUGGUUGUGAAAUCCCUCGGCUUAACUGAGGAACUGCAACCAAAACUAUCUUUCUUGAGUGCUGGG